RNAcentral lists this ribosomal RNA (253 nucleotides) under uncultured bacterium. Its description in RNAcentral is "partial 16S ribosomal RNA". It matches the Rfam family "Bacterial small subunit ribosomal RNA", at positions 524 to 776 of the family's 1533-position model. The record is from RNAcentral.
UACGAAGGGGGCUAGCGUUGCUCGGAAUUACUGGGCGUAAAGCGCACGUAGGCGGAUUGUUAAGUCGGGGGUGAAAUCCUGGAGCUCAACUCCAGAACUGCCUUUGAUACUGGCGAUCUUGAGUCCGGGAGAGGUGAGUGGAACUGCGAGUGUAGAGGUGAAAUUCGUAGAUAUUCGCAAGAACACCAGUGGCGAAGGCGGCUCACUGGCUCGGUACUGACGCUGAGGUGCGAAAGCGUGGGGAGCAAACAGG